This 189-nucleotide ribosomal RNA is filed under the name Sphingobacterium faecium. RNAcentral describes it as "partial 16S ribosomal RNA". It matches the Rfam family "Bacterial small subunit ribosomal RNA", at positions 1 to 176 of the family's 1533-position model. The record is from RNAcentral. Lineage: Bacteria; Pseudomonadati; Bacteroidota; Sphingobacteriia; Sphingobacteriales; Sphingobacteriaceae.
UUUUACAAUGGAGAGUUUGAUCCUGGCUCAGGAUGAACGCUAGCGGCAGGCCUAAUACAUGCAAGUCGGACGGGAUUCAGGGAGUAGCUUGCUACGAGCUGAUGAGAGUGGCGCACGGGUGCGUAACGCGUGAGCAACCUACCCAUAUCAGGGGGAUAGCCUCUCGAAAGAGAGAUUAACACCGCAUAA